UGAGUAAUGUCUGGGAAACUGCCUGAUGGAGGGGGAUAACUACUGGAGACGGUAGCUAAUACCGCAUAACGUCGCAAGACCAAAGAGGGGGACCUUCGGGCCUCUUGCCAUCAGAUGUGCCCAGAUGGGAUUAGCUAGUAGGUGGGGUAACGGCUCACCUAGGCGACGAUCCCUAGCUGGUCUGAGAGGAUGACCAGCCACACUGGAACUGAGACACGGUCCAGACUCCUACGGGAGGCAGCAGUGGGGAAUAUUGCACAAUGGGCGCAAGCCUGAUGCAGCCAUGCCGCGUGUAUGAAGAAGGCCUUCGGGUUGUAAAGUACUUUCAGCGGGGAGGAAGGUGUUGAGGUUAAUAACCUCAGCAAUUGACGUUACCCGCAGAAGAAGCACCGGCUAACUCCGUGCCAGCAGCCGCGGUAAUACGGAGGGUGCAAGCGUUAAUCGGAAUUACUGGGCGUAAAGCGCACGCAGGCGGUCUGUCAAGUCGGAUGUGAAAUCCCCGGG
Molecule: ribosomal RNA, 504 nt
Filed under: uncultured bacterium
Lineage: Bacteria
Description: bacterial SSU rRNA
Rfam family: Bacterial small subunit ribosomal RNA
Source: RNAcentral